GCAUUGGUGGUUCAAUGGUAGAAUUCUCGCUUGCCAUGCGAGACAUCUGGGUCCGAUUCCCAGCCAGUGCA
This is a transfer RNA of Gasterosteus aculeatus (three-spined stickleback), 71 nucleotides long. It matches the Rfam family "tRNA". Rfam says of the family: Transfer RNA (tRNA) molecules are approximately 80 nucleotides in length. Their secondary structure includes four short double-helical elements and three loops (D, anti-codon, and T loops). Lineage: Eukaryota; Metazoa; Chordata; Actinopteri; Perciformes; Gasterosteidae. The record is from Rfam.